This 576-nucleotide ribosomal RNA is filed under the name uncultured Acidobacteriota bacterium. RNAcentral's name for it is "bacterial SSU rRNA". It matches the Rfam family "Bacterial small subunit ribosomal RNA", at positions 98 to 682 of the family's 1533-position model. The record is from RNAcentral. Lineage: Bacteria; Pseudomonadati; Acidobacteriota.
GCGCACGGGUGAGUAACACGUGGGUAAUCUGCCCUGGAGUGGGGAAUAACACCGGGAAACCGGUGCUAAUUCCGCAUACGAUCACGAGGUCUGAGGAUUUUGUGAUGAAAGGAGCAAUUCGCUCUAGGAGGAGCCCGCGGCUGAUUAGCUAGUUGGUGAGGUAAUGGCUCACCAAGGCAACGAUCAGUAUCCGGUCUGAGAGGACGGUCGGACACACUGGAACUGAGACACGGUCCAGACUCCUACGGGAGGCAGCAGUGGGGAAUUUUUGGCAAUGGGGGCAACCCUGACCAAGCAACGCCGCGUGGGUGAUGAAGUCUCUUGGGACGUAAAACCCUUUCGACGGGGACGAAGCCGCAAGGUUGACGGUACCCGUAGAAGAAGCCCCGGCUAACUCCGUGCCAGCAGCCGCGGUAAUACGGGGGGGGCGAGCGUUGUUCGGAAUUACUGGGCGUAAAGGACGCGUAGGCGGUUCGCUAAGUUGGAUGUGAAAACUCUGGGCUCAACCCAGAGCCUGCAUCCAAAACUGGCGGGCUAGAGUUCUGGAGGGGGUAGCGGAAUUCCUGGUGUAGCGGU